CACGGGGGGAGCAAGCGUUGUUCGGAAUCACUGGGCGUAAAGGGCGUGUAGGCGGUCAGGUAAGUCUGAUGUGAAAGCCCGGGGCUCACCCCCGGAAGUGCAUUGGAAACUGAUGGACUCGAGUCCCGGAGAGGAGAGUGGAAUUCCUGGUGUAGCGGUGACAUGCGUAGAUAUCAGGAGGAACACCGGUGGCGAAGGCGGCUCUCUGGACGGUGACUGACGCUGAGACGCGAAAGCGUGGGGAGCAAACAGG
Molecule: ribosomal RNA, 253 nt
Filed under: uncultured bacterium
Lineage: Bacteria
Description: partial 16S ribosomal RNA
Rfam family: Bacterial small subunit ribosomal RNA
Source: RNAcentral